UCCUCUUGUCUUUGUGCGCGGCGUUCGCUGUCCAUAAAGUUUUUGCUUUCCCAAGAUGGCGGCGCCCAUGAGCAGACACCCCCUCGUGGAUUUAAGAAACUGAGCUUGUACGCAGAAAACUCCCUGAAUUCUUUGGCUGACGUGGUUCUGCAAAGUCGCCGGGGCCUUGACCCGUUACCUCAAGCAAGGAGGCCUCUGCCUGUCCUUUCUAUGCCAGCAACCGCGGUGGUCGGGAAUCUGUCCUCGGUCAGGAAACGCGCGGAGAACAGCCGCCCGGAGACCAUCCCUGGGCAGCUGCCAGUCGCUCUGUAACUGGUCCCCUCGGUGACUUCCCUGGUCCCCUUGCUCCGUUCUGUUGGCCUUGCUAAUCGCCCCUUGCCUGACUAACUGCCUGACCGGGGCCAGGGCGUAACUCCUGGUGGCCGGGACACGUGCUCCCCUCUGGCCGCUGAUGAGUCUGGUGUAUGACUCCUUCAAAGAAAAAGCGGGGAGUGAAGUGGGCGUCGGAGUAUAAGAUGAGAAAACCAACCCUGAACCCUUUCUUUAACUAUAAAUUCCAGUACAGAUUGUGAAUUCACAUUAUUUCCGCGGCUGGUCCCGUAUUUUCUCUCGCUGGAACAUUUCAACCCCAACAGCAAAGAGGAUAGAAUCACAGAUGUAGAGGGCAGGAACUCGGAAAGGUGAGCUUAAAUCUAGGGCAGCGGGGUGCAGAUAGUUAAGCGCCUACUCCAGGUGAGAGAAUGGCUCUCUAAGUGCGUACUUAAUGUAAUGAUGUAAUCACCCUAGGGUUAUGUGAGGUAGUGACAUCCUCCUACUGGAGUACUUGAAGGGACUCUCAGCCCCAGAGGAAGACCCAAGAGGCCAGUCUCCCUCUUCCUUCCUCCCUCUUCCAUCUUCCCUCCUCCCUCCUCCUUCCUUCAUCCUCCAUCCAACAUCCUCCCUCCUCCCUCCUCCCUCCUCCCUCCUCCCUCCUCCAUCCUCCAUCCUCCAUCCUCCAUCCUCCAUCCUCCAUCCUCCUUCCCUGACCAGUGCGGGGCCCUCCUGCCUCCUUCACUCCUCCACCAACACCCAGGACUCGGGGCUGAUCCCAAAGGUCCUCCUGAGAGCUAGUCUGUGAGUUUCAUAUUUAUAGAGAAAACCUACAAGAAUGUUGCAAAACAUGUGGCCUCCUCUGACUGGGGAGAGAGUGGGGCUGAUGGGCCCCUUAAAUCCAAGUCGUGACACCUCCUGCUCAGCCCUUGGUCCUCCUGAGGGCACACAGCUAUGGAAGAAUAACUGAACCUCUUUGGGCCUCCAGAAAAGGAAGGCAUCUGAGCAUUCUGUGUCCAAGGGCUCUGAGGGUGUGACUCCAUCAGCUUACUGCUCAUCGACAGCUGGCAAAGCCUCUGUCCUGCUGCUGCCACGUGCUGGAUCCAUUUCCACACCCCCUUCCUGGUCUUCUCUCCUUUCUCCAGGACUCUUUAUCAGAAAUAUCUGUCAUUAAAACACUUUGUCAUGAAAGAAAUGUUUCAGUUUCCAGAAUUACAAUUUGUAACUGAUCCAGUACAAAUAAUUGGUCCCCUUGAUUGACUUCCCUAGUUACAUCCCUAAUAGGUACUGGAUUAGUUACAUUUUGAAUUGAUGCUUUAUUUUAUAAGGAGGGAUUCUCCAGUCCUUAAUAACAUUUAGGAAGUAUUCCAGCCUUCCCUACAGUCUACUUACAAAUCAUUCCAGAAGUGCCUAAUCUCAUCUGUUUGAUGCUGAUUCUUAUUAACUCUCCUUUCUGGAAACACACCCUUUAUGGCCUUGUCUCUUGGUUCCAGGGGGAUGCCCUAUUAAGAGUUUAGAAUUUUUUGUUAAGAAUACGGGCCUUAAAAUAAUCUCUUCAUCACAGUGAAAGUCUAGCGUCAGGUGUUGAGUGGGCUUCUGAAACCUUCACCAGUGGGUAUAAGAACAGUUUGGGAAUAUGCUGCUCUGGGCAAAAAUGCCCAGUGUUCAGAAGAGGAUUCUGAGGGACAGAGAGCCGACUGCUUUUAAUUCUUAGUGCAUGAAGUUUGUUAAAGAAAAAAAAAAUCUAACCAACAGAACCACCUGCAUCAAGGAUUUCCAUUUCAGGGUAGUAUUAUUCAUAAUUGCUAACCGUGUGAUAUCAGAGCCAGUGAGGCUUGUUGGGAUAUUAAGAUGCUCAUCAUUCAACUCAGUUGCAUUUUUAAAGUAUUGUUUCUACUUGAGGGCACAAAUCAGACAAUUCUUAAGUAGUGUUAGUGAAAGCUGCCUAAAAGGAAGAUAAUGGAUUUGUGUAAAAGCAGUAAUUCCUUGCCCCCUAGAAAUCUUCUGUUCUGUUACUGGUAAAGAUGUGAACAUUUGACUUGGCAGGAAGACCAUCAGAACAGUGAAUCCAGGGCAAAGCUUGAAUUGGGUGGGAUUUGGAUCUCAAGUGUAAUUCCUGUUUUUAAAAGUAUCUGAGUCUGAUUGGUGAUUUGUAUGUCUCCUCAGACUAUUUCUAGGUUAUCUUUUAGCUUUAUAAAGAAUCUCUGGAAUUCUAGUACUGAAAAUCAUGCUUAAUAGUAAAACCCAUUUUGCACUGAGAAUUUUGAUGGGCCAGCCUGAAAAUCUUCCUACAACUUCCCUGACCAUUCUGCUUUGUUUUCCCCUCUGGUUGUUGGCCCAGUGGAACAAGUCCAGUCCCCCUUUUUCAUAUCACAGACUUAAAUAUUUGAAGACAGCCAGAAUGGCUUUCUGGAGUCUUCUCCAGGCUCAGUGACUCAUGUUCCUUCUUCUGAUGCUCACAAGGCAAGGUCUUGAGAUCUUUGAUAAGGCUGAUAAACUUUGAUAAGUUCUGAUUGUUCUCCUGUGAACAUGAUCUCCACAAUCUGGACCUAAACCCAGACCUCAAAGUGCAGAGUGAAGAGACACCAUCUCCUUCCUCUUCCUGGAAGCUCUAUUCCUUCCCAGCUUGCCAUCCACUAAAUCCUCAUGGCUGCCAUCUUCCCAAGCUUUUCUCUGUCCUAUAUUCAUAAAGUUGCCCUUUUUGUACUCGAAUAUUAGAUUUUCCACUAAUUCCUCUGUUGGGGAUCCUGUCAGAAACAUGUCUAUGAUAGUGGGCAUGCUAGCGAUGGAACAAGAAGUUUUUAACUUGAGACAUUUCCAAAAUUCAUCCCCACUGAGGUUAGGAUUCACCAAGCCAAAUCUGUUAAAGUGAUUGGAAAAUACAGCCAGGCCCUUACUUGUAAAUCAUUUAUGUUUCCAGAGUUUAUAAAUUGACUGGAGCUCAAAAUAUGUUUUCCUUUGGAAAUGAUUAUGUCAGCUAAGAAAAACCAAUUUUAAAAACAAGCUUUAUUAUAAAUAUAAUAAGGUUAAUAUACUAAUAAAAAUAGGUUUUAGAAUAAAUGAGUUUUGUUCUUAGACAUUUCCAAAAGAUUCGUGAUGGAAAGUGAUAUCCACAUUCAGAGAAAAAACUAUAGAUUCUGAAUGCAAAUCGAAGCAGAUGAUUUUCACUUUUUUUGUUUUUUUCCUUCUUGUGGUUUUCCCCUUUUCUUCUGAUUCUUCUUUCACAGUAUGACUAUUUGGAAAUAUGUUUAAUGUGAUUGUACAUAUAUAACAUAUCAAUUUGAUUGGUGUCUUGGGGAGGGGAAAGGGAGGAAAAAUGAAAAUGAAAAUAGUUUAAAAGCAAAUGUUGAAAACAAAUUUUAAAAUAAAUAAAUAAAUGAGUUUUUACAACCAAUAACAUAGAUGAAUAUUAAUGCCCUAGUUCUAUUUACAUACAUACUAGUUCUGUGACCAGAGGCAACUCCCCAGGCAGCUAUAAGAAUGCCUACAGAUAAACCAGAGGAACUUCCUCCAGGAGUUCCUUAUGUCAAGAUGCUCAAAAUUAAGAUAGUCUAAGCAGUGACUCCCAAGCCCUAUCUCUUCUUGGGAUCCCCCUUGGCCCUUUUGACUUUGAAGCAUCUGAGUUUUGAGCCUCUGAAAAAGCCAAGUAAGGAGGAGAACUUGUGUUUUGGGCCUUUUGUUUCCCAGAGAGAGAGAGAGAGAGAGUUGGGGCCCUUGGGAAAGCGUCCCAAAUCUCUUAGCUACUUUUUUUAUUAAAGCUUUUUUAUUUUCAAAACAUGUAUGGAUAAGUUUUCAACACUGACCCUUGCAUAGCCUUGUGUUUCAGAUUUCCCCCUCCUUCCCCCACCCCCUCACCUAGAUUGGAUAACAAUCCAAUAUAUAUUAUACAUAAAUCCAGUAUAUGUAAACAUUUAUACACAAGAAAAAUCAGAUCAAAAAGGAAAAAAAAUGAGAAACAAAAUGCAAGUGAAUAACAUCAAAAAGAGUGAGAAAGCUAUGUUGUGAUCCACAUUCAGUAUAAUCUUGUUGAAAUGUACAAUGAUCUCCUGGUUCUGCUCAUUUCACUCAGCCUCAGUUCGUGUAAGUCUCUCCAGGCCUCUCUGUAUUCAUCCUGCUGGUCAUUUCUUACAGAACAAUAAUAUUCCAUAACAUUCAUAUACCACAAUUUACCCAGCCAUUCUCCAACUGAUGGGCAUCCAUUCAAUUUCCGGUUUCUUGCCACCACAAAAAGGGCUGCCACAAACACUUUUGCACAUGUGAGUCCUUUCUCUCCUUUAUUAUCUCUUUGGGAUAGAGCCGGCUCAGCUCUUUAUUUCUUUUGUGAAUGUGGCCAACAUGACUUCAUAAGGCUUCGGCUUUCUCCCCUCUGCCCAGAGAAAUCUGACUAAAGGACCUGAAACCCUGCUAGAGGAGAAGGCGGUGGUAUCCAAACACUGUUAUUCAUGAAUUUGAGCUACAGUCAGGAAGAAUCCCUUGGAAUGCUGGGAAGUGGAUCAGAACCAGUUGGAAAGCAGAGAGGUUUCUGUUUGAGAUAGGAGAGAGCUUCUGGAGUUAGUUGAACAGGGAGUGAUUUGUUCAGGUUCAUGUGAUCACUGACUUUAUAGCUCAAUCCCAGAGUUUCUUGAAAUAUAUGGACAUUAAAUGGCUUGUCCCAGGUCUCACAAAGCUUAGCACAGUAUCUGGCACAUUGAAGACCCUUAAUCAAUGUUUAUUGAUUGACUGAUUGACUGACUAGGGCUUAAUUGAUAGUGAGUGUCCCUGCUCAUACAUAGUAAAUGCUGUUGGAAUGCUCUUUUCCGCUUGUGCCAUCAUUCAUUCAUUCAUUCAUUCGUGCAUCAGAGUUAGAACCUUAAGAGAUCUCCCUGAUAAGACCAGCCCUCUCUCCACUACAAUGUGCUCUCUCUUGCCUUGUAUAUAUUCACUGCUGUACGUGUGGAUUUUUGUUGUUGGAUGAAGAAAUUUAAUAAACCACAUUCUUCUUAGAGAUGAAACAUCCUAUCAUUGAAUUUUGAGUACUUUCUGAGCAUCUGUAUUUUAAAAAUUAAAAUGCAUCAUAAUUAGUUUUGUUAGGGAAUAUGAGGAAUUGUCUCAUAGGGGUGAGGUUUGUCAAGUCAUCGAGUAUUUAUUAAGCUCCUUACAGAAACAGUUUAAUGCUCCUUUGGAAGAGGAAAGCUGAUGUUUACAUUCAUCAAAAGAUUUACCUGUUCUCUGUGAAUUCUCAUUUGUUGUUUGUUUUGAAUGGAUCCCAUCAUCUGUGCUAAGAUCCAUAAUAUCUUAUUGACUCUUUGGCUUGUAUAAUUAAAUGACUGUUACAUUGAGCAUUGUGUGACCCUUAGGUUCUUUAUGUAUCAACUCUGGCUUCACAAGAAUUUUCAGAGGUUAAUUUAUUAAGUGGAUAAUCAUUUUUUUAGUAGUGUCAUGAUUAAAAUUUUUUAGUUAUGACCUGUCAAAAUCAUAUUUUAAAAUCUUAAUCACUUCUUAAUGGGUUGACUGUGAAUAAAUUCCUGAAUAAAAAAUAAGUUUAUAAAAUA
Long non-coding RNA from Antechinus flavipes (yellow-footed antechinus), 5840 nucleotides. RefSeq lists it as uncharacterized. Lineage: Eukaryota; Metazoa; Chordata; Mammalia; Dasyuromorphia; Dasyuridae. The record is from RefSeq and is a predicted model, not a curated record. The transcript has 2 exons.